AGAAGGCAGCAGGAGGUUUGAACAUUAUUUCCUAUGAAAGGUGGAAAAAAGCAGCUCUGUCAAAACUCCUCUCGGCAUUAAUGGCAAAGAAAGACAAGCUCUGGAUCAAAUGUAUCCACUGUCACUACAUAAAGAUGAAGGACUUUAAUACAAUGGAAAUUCCUAAACAAGCUAGCUGGCUCGUUAGGAAACUGAUUGGAGCAAGGGAAUGGUGGGCAAAUGAUGGAACAGGAAUGCAAACAUGUACUCAAAAUAGGCAAUUUAGAAUCAGAAAAGCAUACAUUCAUACCACCCCGCAAUACCCCAAGGUCCGAUGGAAAAACUUAGUGAUGGUUAAUGGCAUGCUCCCAAAAUAGAAAUACAUUUUAUGGAUAGCAGUGCACAAGCGAUUGUCAACAGUUGACAGAUUGGUUAGAUGGGG
Molecule: long non-coding RNA, 421 nt
Filed under: Nicotiana benthamiana
Lineage: Eukaryota; Viridiplantae; Streptophyta; Magnoliopsida; Solanales; Solanaceae
Description: long non-coding RNA (NBEN_LNC015475)
Source: RNAcentral